GGAAGAUAUGUAGGGCGCACGGCGGAUGCCUUGGCACAGGAAGCCGAUGAAGGACGCGGCAAGCUGCGAUAAUCCGCGGUUAGGGGCACACACCCUUCGACCCGCGGGUCUCCGAAUGGGCGAACCCGCCAGGAGAGGUCCUGGCAUCCCCCUUGGGAACGCAUACCUUGGGGGAGGACAACCCGGGGAACUGAAACAUCUAAGUACCCGGAGGAGAAGAAAUCAACUGCGAGAUUCCCCGAGUAGCGGCGAGCGAAAGGGGACCGAUGGCCAAACCGGCGAGCGGGCGGGCGCCAGCCUAUACCGCCGCCGGGGUUGCAGGGCCUCCCGCCCGGGAGCUGGCGCUCCCGGCGGGGAUCCAUCCAGGGGAGCCGAACGGCAUGGGAGGGCCGGCGGCACAGGGUCACAGCCCCGUAGGCGCACCCUGGGAUGGACCCCGGCGGAGGUCCCUGAGUAGGGCCGGGCACGUGAAACCCGGUCCGAAGCAGGGGGGACCACCCUCCAAGCCUGAAUACUCUCCUGUGACCGAUAGCGCACAAGUACCGUGAGGGAAAGGUGAAAAGCACCCCGGGAGGGGAGUGAAACAGUACCUGAAACCGUGCGCCCGCAAGGCGUCGGAGCACCCUUUCAGAGGUGUGACGGCGUGCCUUUUGUAGAAUGAGCCAGCGAGUUGCUGGCCGUCGGCGAGGUUAAGCUGGAAAGCGAGCCGGAGCGAAAGCGAGUCCGAAACGGGCGACCAUAGUCGGCGGCCGCAGACGCGAAGCCGGGUGAGCUACCCGUGGGCAGGCUGAAGCGGGGGUAAGACCCCGUGGAGGGCCGAACGCACGUCGGUUGAAAACGGCGGCGAUGACCUGCGGGUAGGGGUGAAAGGCCUAUCAAACCCGGAGAUAUCUCGUUCUCCCCGAAAUAGCUUUAGGGCUAGCGUCGCGCGUUAACCCCGGGAGGUAGAGCACCGGAUCGAUGAGGGGGCUUCGCCGCCUACCGAUUCGAACCGAACUCCGAAUGCCCGAGGGUCUAGAGCGCGGCAGUCAGAACAUGUGGGCUAAGCUGUGUGUUCGAGAGGGAAACAGCCCAGACCGCCCGCUAAGGUCCCAAAUUCAGAGCCGAGUGGCAAAGGAUGUGCGUCCGCGCAGACAACCAGGAGGUUGGCUUAGAAGCAGCCACCCCUUCAAAGAGUGCGUAACAGCUCACUGGUCGAGUGGACAUGCGCCGACAAUACACGGGGCUAAGCUCUGAACCGAAGCGGCGGGAUGAUUCAAAUCAUCGGUAGGGGAGCGUCCCAGCGGGGGCGAAGCGGGAGGGGAACCGACCGUGGACCUUCUGGGAGCGAGAAUGCUGGCAUGAGUAGCGAGAGACGAGAGGGUAACUCGUCCGCCGUAAACCCGAGGUUUCCUGGGCAAGGCUAAUCCUCCCAGGGUCAGUCGGGGGCUAAGGCGAGGCCGGAAGGCGUAGUCGAAGCGCAGCAGGCAGACAUUCCUGCACCGCGAUGGAACCGUCACGACCGACGGGGCGACGGAUUGGGGUGGCUCGGCGGGGUUCUGGACGUCCCCGUGAUGGAGCGCGGCCCGGAGACCAGGCAAAUCCGGUCUCCACGAGGGCGAGGCUCCGGACGAAGCGAUCGAGCGAAGCGAGUGAGCCCGAGGUCCCUAGAAAAACCCCUAGGCAGGCGCCAUCGCGCCCGUACCGCAAACCGACACAGGUGGGUGGGUAGAACAUACCGAGGCGAUCGGGUCAACCAUGGUUAAGGAACUCGGCACAAUGGCCCCGUAACUUCGGGAGAAGGGGUGCCCCCGCGUACGUGAACCGGCUCGCCCGGGGAGCGGAGGGGGGCCGCAGUGAAGAGGCCCAAGCGACUGUUUACCAAAAACACAGGACUCUGCAUAAGCCGCGAGGCGACGUAUAGGGUCUGACGCCUGCCCGGUGCCGGAAGGUCACGCGGAGGUGUUAGCGCGAGCGAAGCACCGAAGCCAAGCCCCGGUAAACGGCGGCCGUAACUAUAACGGUCCUAAGGUAGCGAAAUUCCUUGUCGGGUAAGUUC
Molecule: ribosomal RNA, 2038 nt
Filed under: human gut metagenome
Description: bacterial LSU rRNA
Rfam family: Bacterial large subunit ribosomal RNA
Source: RNAcentral